Long non-coding RNA from Equus caballus (horse), 4568 nucleotides. NCBI's taxonomy places the organism in Eukaryota, Metazoa, Chordata, Mammalia, Perissodactyla, Equidae. The record is from Ensembl.
AAGAUGUUCCUGAAAACUGCGUCCCAGCCACAGGAACCGCCACCCUUCCUGCCCUGCCCCAUGUCCAGUGUCAGUGCCCUGCCCGUGUCCAGCGUCAGUGCACCAGAGACAGCCUGAAUACUAGUUGCAACUGGAGCCUGCGAGAUCCUCAGCUUUGUUUAGAAGAAGGAGAGGAGAGAAGGAGAAGAAGGAGGAAUAGCAGUUAGUGGACAUCUGCCAACCACACACAUCGGAUGCCCCACGUCACUUACACCCGUCUUCUUCUUGCAUUACUUCUCAUGGGGUAAAUCUCACUUUCCAACAUGAAAUCCAAAGUCCGAUGUCUCCCAACCUCCUCUGUCUGUGGUGAGGAGGCAGCGUGCUGUGGGCCUGCCCUCUGGAGGCACCCACGCAGGAGGACUGUGAUUUGGGACUGCCACGUGGGAAGUAGCCCCACGGGGAGGCCAUGGUGUUGUCACAGUAACCAGGCACCCUGGGCUGUGUCAUAAGUGCUUCAUGAACAGGCAAAGGCAGGGCCCUGGGAGGGCACAGAAGGAGCCCUACCUUGCCGGGGGCUAGGGGGCCAGGAAGCAAACACAUCCCAGAGAAGGGAAGAAAGUGGAAGGACAUUCACAAAGGUUUGUCUAAUAAAUCAGAUGUUUAAAUUAAGGAAAGUGGAAAUGAAAACUAGAGAAUAAACCCACUUAAGUGAGCUGGGGGAGACUGAAGAGCUGCCACACCCCCGGAGGCUGCCAUGGCCGAUGGCCCCAGAGAGUAGGAUUCACCAGGAGAUGCUCCAAACCCACAGCAGGCCAGACUGACUGUGACCCACUGACGGGGGCGCUCUUCACUGUUUGUUCAAGGAGAACACCCUAUUGUGCAAAGAAGCCAAGUUACCCUGCAGACAAAAGUCAUGAUCAGAUGCAUCUAUCAGAAACCUCUCUAGCUAGUUUGAGCAGGAAUCAGGCACCGACCAGGACUGAAGGAACAGCUGCUAAGCUGGAAGGAAAUGCAGAACAGAACUGGCCGCCCUGGAACAACCAGGGAAGGAGGAAUCCGGAGCCACAAUCCCAACCACUACCUCCAGGACACAGCCUCCAGCAGCAUCCAGGGGAGAGGAGGCAGAGGAGAUGCCGUCACCAACCACCUGGAACCAGACCAGGCCUCACCACCAGACCUCACCUGUGACCUUUGCCUUAUUUUGAAGGGUAAGAGCCCUCCAGGAGGAGCUUCGCCCUUAUUGCCAUCACCUGCAGUGCGUGUGGAAGCACGAUUUCAAACUGAGCUUGUGCAAGAGGAUUCCCACCUCUCCCUUUGGAAUAUUCAUUCCUCAUCCCAAAGAAAAGGUCCCUGCUUCCCGUGGUUCGGGGACGCCAUGACUCUGGAGAUGAUUCCCCUGGGUCUCCUCUUUGCUGCAAACAUACUUCACUUUGUGGGACAGCUGGUUCUGGUGGGGAGUCUGAUGUGACUUGCCAGGAGGGGACCUCCUUCAGUGUCGUCAGUAACCAAAGAGUUCACACCACGUUGCCUCCUGUCAUUAGGAGAAGGCUGACCCUGUGAAACAGCACUGUGCUGGGCCACAUGGCGUCUUGUUACCCACAGUCGCCCUCCUGAAGCUGGGUGUCCACCGAGCAUCUGCCUGGGCCCUGGUCUAUGGAGCAGCCCGUCAGGGGCCUUUGGGGCCUGGAGGUCUCUGAAUGCCUCUUUGCAGCAUGCAUGCCUUUCUUCCCCACAUCUCUGAGUGUGAGGACAUGCCAGGGCUGGUGUGGAGUGUGCAGAGUGCACUUUACCAGGCAACAGUCUAUUUUUGUGUUUCGAGCACCUCCUCUCCUCUGAAACUUUCCCUGUGCCUCUGACCCACCGUUUACCUGUGUGUGUGCUCACGUGUGUGUGCAUAUGUGCUCACGUGUGUGUGCAUGUGUGUACAGGUUAAGGUGGGUCUCCCACCCCUGCCCCAGACAUUGCUGAGCUCUCUGGGGGACUGAAGCCAGAAGAUGCUGUCGACGAAAAUAAUCCAUAACCAAUCUAUAAAUGAAAAUUUGGAAGAGUUUAUUCUGAGCUAAAAUCUGAGGACCAUGGCCCGGGAGAGCCUUUCCACAAAGGAACAGAGCACUCCAAAGAAGGGGGGUAUACAGGGUGGCUAUAUACCCUCAAACAGGAUGUUUCGCAUAUGAUUGAAAUGUCCCUUUUAGAAUAGUCUCAAGGCUGCUCUGUCAGCACAGUGAUUGAUGGACACAGCAGGUAGGUCUGCUGUCUCGGUGAACACAGCAGGGUGGCAGGUCUGUUGUCUCGAGCUGGGUGGUCACAGGUGAGCUGGGUGGUCAAAGGUGAGUGCAGCAAUCAGUUCCUAGCCUAAGGAAAGGUGCUUAAUCUUUAAGGAAAUGCCAACAUUGGGAGGGGGAGGGAAGUUGCACCUUUAUCUCAAGGGCCUUUGUUCUUACCAUAGGGAAUGUCUAAAGCAGAUAUACAAUGCAUGCUCAACGGCCACAGUCAGGCCCUUUUGGAAAAAACAAAGUCAGGCCGAAUUAGGUUUUUACCAAAUGGCUUCCUCAUACACUCCAAUAUAUCCUAUUGCUUGCCAUUUCAAUUUGUCAAUGCAAAUGUGCGGCACUGAGAGUUCAGGUUUCCUGCCACAUGCAGGAAACCAGCUUCAGGAGACAGCAGAAGAAAGUCCACGUUCGAACGGAACAAGAGGAUACUUGGCAAGAAAGAGAACAAGGCAGUUCCCGCCUCUGGUUCGGGUUUCAUUUCAUUUAGUUUCAAGCCCAGACACAUUCCUGCACUUGGGUUCUGUGACACAUUCCAAGAUCUGUUCCAAGAGGAUAUCUUCUCCUGCAGCACAAAUGUCUAAAGAGCAUAGCAACCAUACCCCCGACUGAGGAUGCACAAGCUUUGAUGAAGCUCCCCAGGACAUGCAAUGUGUGCAUGCAAACUGGUGUUCAUCUGAGGGACGGGCGGACAGUGUUACACUGGGACUCAUAGAUCUGACCUUCCGAAGUUAGUAACACCGAGAACUCUGGGCCACACAUAGAAUUUUUCAGACCAGCUCACUGGUGUUUAGAUCUUUGAGCUCAAGUACUCCCCUUUUUCUCUGCUGUAUCUCCAGUGUCUGCAACAGCGGCAGGCACAGAGCAGACGCUCCAUAGAUAUUAGCUGAAUAAUCAACCAUGUCUACAGGAGCGAGCCCUCGGCCUGCCGUGGAGCACGUGUGAAGCCUAAGUGGAAGCGUCUGCAGCGCCCGUCCCCCUCUGCUACCCACUGUGAAGUUAGGCAAGUCGCCUCGCCCCCACCAUUGCAUCGGGGACAUCAUCACCUUCUUCAUGGAGCUGCCUUUAACUUCAAGUGGGAUGGUCCCUGUAAAAGCCAUUCGUAAACUGUAAUGUGCUGAGCAAAUGAGCUGAUAAUGAUGCUAGCUUUAGGACCACAUGGAAAAGGCACAGCAGGUAUUUUAAGGGUUAGAAACAAAAGCUGGAAGUCUGAAAGGACAGAUACAGAACAGAUUUUGAUUUAGGAAAAGUUUAGGGAAAAGACAAGACUCUGUAGUUAGGAAGAGUCUUCAGAGGCCGACCCAGGCCCAGGAGGAGCGGCUCCACGCCCACCUACAGCCCCUCCCCCGUUGUCACUACACCCAGCCCCAGGGGCAUGCUGUCAGGGGUCUGGUUCCCCACUGGCCCCGUGUUGACGAGACCGGGGUGCCUGUCCCCAUCCCCCUGGGUAACCUGUGCCAUGCUCCAUGAGCUUCUUCCUGCCUCUAGCUCCUUGGUGUAAAGGGAGAGGAUUAAACGAGUUCAGUGGUUUUCUAAAGCUUUUAAUAGCAGAACUGUGUUUUCAAACAAAACCCUGCAUAUAUAAAGGUCAAAUUAGCAGAUCUACUGUGACUAUAUGCAGAGAAAUUAUAGUGGGUGCCUUUCGUACGUGGAUGGUCUACAGUGAGUGUUCUCGUUGGGGCAUGGCUGGAGGCCCAGGACAUGCUCUCCCCUGCCCGCUCAGCCCAUCUCUUUGGCGUCUCCUUCAGCACUUCCAUAAAACAUUAGGAUGCAGAGGACACAGCGGAAAUGCCUGAGCAAGAUGAUGUCCCCGGUGGUGUCCUUCUGCUACAGAAAAUUGGCAUGUGUGACCUGACCCUCAGCUUCCUGUCGUCAUCCUGUCCUCUCCCCCCAGACACAGUGCCCUCUUUCUUUGGAAAUGUGCCUUUUAUUGCCCUUGUUUGAGCAAGAUGUCCUGAAUGUAUGUGUGAAAUCAAAGGGUAGUAAUGAAACCCUCUCCAGAAACCGUCCGGCUUGGUAGGCAGUGAGCCCAGCUCACAUGACUGCAUAGCUGACUGUUAGGUUUUCCUUUCUGAAACCACAACUGGUGCAUCCACAGGAGCCCAGGGGGAGCCGCUUCUCUUCUCAGCUAGUGCCACCUGGCCACAGGGCUUCCCGGAGCACACGGUGCUCCAGGCGUUGUCAACACGCAAUCAUGGACCUCCGUUGGACAAACCAUCCCACCGGUCUGUCUUCGAGCAGACGUGUUUGUCAGUUUGAGCUGGCUUAGUGGAGGAAUGGGGAUCCCUGGGGUUUUUUAUUAUUAUUAAAGCUCCAUCCACC